Molecule: ribosomal RNA, 648 nt
Filed under: Escherichia coli
Lineage: Bacteria; Pseudomonadati; Pseudomonadota; Gammaproteobacteria; Enterobacterales; Enterobacteriaceae
Description: partial 23S ribosomal RNA
Rfam family: Bacterial large subunit ribosomal RNA
Source: RNAcentral
AUCAGAAGUGCGAAUGCUGACAUAAGUAACGAUAAAGCGGGUGAAAAGCCCGCUCGCCGGAAGACCAAGGGUUCCUGUCCAACGUUAAUCGGGGCAGGGUGAGUCGACCCCUAAGGCGAGGCCGAAAGGCGUAGUCGAUGGGAAACAGGUUAAUAUUCCUGUACUUGGUGUUACUGCGAAGGGGGGACGGAGAAGGCUAUGUUGGCCGGGCGACGGUUGUCCCGGUUUAAGCGUGUAGGCUGGUUUUCCAGGCAAAUCCGGAAAAUCAAGGCUGAGGCGUGAUGACGAGGCACUACGGUGCUGAAGCAACAAAUGCCCUGCUUCCAGGAAAAGCCUCUAAGCAUCAGGUAACAUCAAAUCGUACCCCAAACCGACACAGGUGGUCAGGUAGAGAAUACCAAGGCGCUUGAGAGAACUCGGGUGAAGGAACUAGGCAAAAUGGUGCCGUAACUUCGGGAGAAGGCACGCUGAUAUGUAGGUGAAGUCCCUCGCGGAUGGAGCUGAAAUCAGUCGAAGAUACCAGCUGGCUGCAACUGUUUAUUAAAAACACAGCACUGUGCAAACACGAAAGUGGACGUAUACGGUGUGACGCCUGCCCGGUGCCGGAAGGUUAAUUGAUGGGGUUAGCCGCAAGGCGAAGCUCUUGAU